GAUGAAGAACGCAGCGAAAUGCGAUAAGUAAUGUGAAUUGCAGAAUUCAGUGAAUCAUCGAAUCUUUGAACGCACAUUGCGCCCGCCAGUAUUCUGGCGGGCAUGCCUGUCUGAGCGUCAUUUCAACCCUCAUGCCCCUAGGGCGUGGUGUUGGGGAUCGGCCAAAGCCCGCGAGGGACGGCCGGCCCCUAAAUCUAGUGGCGGACCCGUCGUCGCCUCCUCUGCGAAGUAGUGAUAUUCCGCAUCGGAGAGCGAUGAGCCCCUGCCGUUAAACCCCCAACUUUCCAAGGUUGACCUCAGAUCAGGUAGGAAUACCCGCUGAACUUAAGCAUAUCAAUAAGCGGAGGA
This 348-nucleotide unclassified non-coding RNA is filed under the name soil metagenome. RNAcentral describes it as "partial contains 5.8S ribosomal RNA, internal transcribed spacer 2, and large subunit ribosomal RNA". The stretch from base 1 to 120 matches the Rfam family "5.8S ribosomal RNA", at positions 35 to 154 of the family's 154-position model. The record is from RNAcentral.